This 990-nucleotide ribosomal RNA is filed under the name Triticum aestivum (bread wheat). RNAcentral describes it as "partial small subunit ribosomal RNA". Lineage: Eukaryota; Viridiplantae; Streptophyta; Magnoliopsida; Poales; Poaceae. The record is from RNAcentral.
AUGAGCUUGGUCUAUCCACUCCUGCGGCUCCCGUGCCGCUGCGCCCUCGCGUCGGCGCCGCGGGCCGCCGCGGCGUCGGUGGUGUCGGCCUCGGCCUCGGCCUCGGCGGUGGACGGCGGGGGCGGGGACUGGGAGCUGACGGCGCGGGAGAGGAGGGAGAGGCGGAGGGAGGCGAGGGAGCUCAAGGCGCGGGACUGGAAGGAGGAGGUGGAGGAGCGGCUCAUCCACGAGCCGGCGCGGCGGCGGAAGAAGCCGCCGAAGCGGACGUGGCGGGAGGAGCUCAACCUCGACUUCCUCGCCGAGCACGGCCCCCAGUGGUGGCUCGUGCGCGUCUCCAUGGCGCCCGGCACCGACUACGUCGACCUCAUCACCAAGGCCGUCGCCCGCCGCUUCUCCGAGGUCUCCUUCAAGAUUUACAAUCCUGCAAUCCAAGUGAAGAAGAGGCUGAAAAGUGGUUUGAUCAGUACCAAGUCAAAACCUCUGCAUCCUGGGCUGGUCUUUCUGUACUGCACCUUAAACAAGGAGCUUCAUGAUUUCAUCAGAGACACCGAAGGUUGUUAUGGUUUCAUUGGAGCUACAAGAGGUUCCAUUAAAAGGCAGAUUAAGAAGCCUAAACCUAUUCCAGUUGAAGAGGUCGAAUCAAUUAUUAAAAAGGAGAAGGAGGAACAAGAGAAAGCUGACAAAGAAUUUGAAGACCUGGAAAACUGGGAUAAGGGGUCUUUUGGUAAACCCGUUGAAGACUCUGAACUUAUGUUAAUUAAUAAGAUCAAGAAACAAGUCAAGAAAUCAACUUCAAAAGGUGCCUCCAGCAACGACACUUUUACGCUUGGUGCCAGUGUUCAUGUUCUCUCCGGGCCGUUUGCAGGCUUCACUGGCUCUCUUCUGGAAGUAAAUCGCAAAAAUAAGAAGGUUACUGUCCAGAUGACACUUUUUGGCAAGGAGAGCUUUGUAGAUCUAGAUUUUGAUCAAAUUGAGGCACUGAAUACUUAA